GCUGUGCUGUGAAGAGGAAGGGACAGGAGGUUGUGCGAGGAGCAGAAAGGGACAGACAUCGUACAAGGGACAGACGGGGUCAGAUGGCCCUGUGAGGGACAGGGAGCAGAAACUGUGAAAGAAAGGAGGAGCCAGAGCUGCGUGCAGCUGUUGAUGGGACUGCAACAUAGAAAAGUUGCAUAAGAGGGAGGAACAGAGGAGCCCAAGGAGCAGAUUGCUUUGCAGAAGCGCGGAACAGGCGCCGCCGGAGCCGCUGCCCCUCCUGCUGCCCCAGCCCGACGCCUUCAGCUGGAGGAGGCUCCGGUGGAGGAGCUGGGUGUAGCUGUGUCCUCCGGGUCAGCGUGUGCAGGACAGGGAGACCAGAGGCUCUUCCCAGCCCGCCUGGACACCUCCUGGCCGUGCCCAGACUACAGACAGCCCAGCCCUGGCCCCUCUGGGGCAGGAGCUCUGGGGGCUUCCCAGCGGGUGCCAUUCCCAGCACCAGGAGGAGGAAGGGAUCAGUAUCCAUCAGCUGCGCCCCCCUGACCCGACCCCAUCGAUUGUACCGAUCCCAGCGUGAGGAGAUGUGUGAGGCGAUCAAUGUCCCUCAGCCCUACCUGAGGGUUUGGUUUAACCCUUCCCGCGCCCCAGUGCGGGUCCCUGCGCUCCCCCGGGGCUCCUGCCCUGGUCCUGCUGGGCUGC
Long non-coding RNA from Hirundo rustica (Barn swallow), 681 nucleotides. RefSeq lists it as uncharacterized. The transcript is spliced from 2 exons. Lineage: Eukaryota; Metazoa; Chordata; Aves; Passeriformes; Hirundinidae. The record is from RefSeq and is a predicted model, not a curated record.